RNAcentral lists this ribosomal RNA (518 nucleotides) under Microbacteriaceae bacterium M3_12_1TO2. Its description in RNAcentral is "bacterial SSU rRNA". It matches the Rfam family "Bacterial small subunit ribosomal RNA", at positions 901 to 1419 of the family's 1533-position model. The record is from RNAcentral. Lineage: Bacteria; Bacillati; Actinomycetota; Actinomycetes; Micrococcales; Microbacteriaceae.
UCAAAGGAAUUGACGGGGACCCGCACAAGCGGCGGAGCAUGCGGAUUAAUUUGAUGCAACGCGAAGAACCUUACCAAGGCUUGACAUAUACGAGAACGGGCCAGAAAUGGUCAACUCUUUGGACACUCGUAAACAGGUGGUGCAUGGUUGUCGUCAGCUCGUGUCGUGAGAUGUUGGGUUAAGUCCCGCAACGAGCGCAACCCUCGUUUAUGUUGCCAGCACGUAAUGGUGGGAACUCAUGGGAUACUGCCGGGGUCAACUCGGAGGAAGGUGGGGAUGACGUCAAAUCAUCAUGCCCCUUAUGUCUUGGGCUUCACGCAUGCUACAAUGGCCGGUACAAAGGGCUGCAAUACCGUGAGGUGGAGCGAAUCCCAAAAAGCCGGUCCCAGUUCGGAUUGAGGUCUGCAACUCGACCUCAUGAAGUCGGAGUCGCUAGUAAUCGCAGAUCAGCAACGCUGCGGUGAAUACGUUCCCGGGUCUUGUACACACCGCCCGUCAAGUCAUGAAAGUCGGUAACA